Molecule: ribosomal RNA, 426 nt
Filed under: uncultured Cloacibacterium sp.
Lineage: Bacteria; Pseudomonadati; Bacteroidota; Flavobacteriia; Flavobacteriales; Weeksellaceae
Description: bacterial SSU rRNA
Rfam family: Bacterial small subunit ribosomal RNA
Source: RNAcentral
GGGGAAUAUUGGACAAUGGGCGCAAGCCUGAUCCAGCCAUGCCGCGUGGGUGAAGAAGGCCUUCGGGUUGUAAAGCCCUUUUGUUGGGAAAGAAAAGCAGCCGGCCAAUACCCGGUUGUUCUGACGGUACCCAAAGAAUAAGCACCGGCUAACUCCGUGCCAGCAGCCGCGGCAAUACGGAGGGUGCAAGCGUUAUCCGGAUUUAUUGGGUUUAAAGGGUCCGUAGGCGGACUUAUAAGUCAGUGGUGAAAGCCUGUCGCUUAACGAUAGAACUGCCAUUGAUACUGUAAGUCUUGAGUAUAUUUGAGGUAGCUGGAAUAAGUAGUGUAGCGGUGAAAUGCAUAGAUAUUACUUAGAACACCAAUUGCGAAGGCAGGUUACCAAGAUAUAACUGACGCUGAGGGACGAAAGCGUGGGGAGCGAACA